AUGGCAACUAAAUUACAAAUAAAUAAAAUUGACCCUUUCCCAUUAGAAACAUUGGAAAAUAAGGACAAGACAUUUAGGAAUAUAAUUAAGGCACUGAAGGAAAAUGGUAUUAAAAAGAUUGGGGAUAAAAUAAAAGAUAAAUGUGGCCAAGGGAACUGGAUAGCAUGGUUAGGUUUGUCCAGUAAAGCCCAGGCCAUGAAAAGAAGAGAAGCAGGUGAAACCCCCCUGGAUAGAAUAAUUAGAAGGAAAUUAGAAACAGAUAAAGGUAUGAUUGGGCUAUGGUAUGAUGUACUAAUUACCUUAACUUAUAAUACGAAAGAAACGCUUACAAAGAUCUGGAAACAGGAAAAAAACUUUACUGAGAAACUAAUUGGGUCAUGGAUCAAUAAUAUUCAUAAAAUUAAUCAUAUAAGGGUCAAAGAAACACAAAGGAAAAUAAUCACAAAAUGGUAUAGAACCCCCCUACAAUUGGCUCAUAUAACGGGAAGUACCUCGAACAAAUGUUGGCAUAAAUGUGGGGGAAUAGGUUCAUUCUCCCACAUGUGGUAGGACUGUAGAAAAAUUCAAAUCUUUUAUAGCAAAAUAAGAAAAGAAAUGGAAGAAAUAAUAGGGAAAGAAUUAAUAUGGGACAAAGCCAGAUUUAUGUCCCUCACAAUAAAGGUAAGGGAAGAUAACAAUAAUUGGACCGAGAUUCUAAAAUAUAUGACAGCCGCAAUACAAGCCACAAUAGCCCGAGAAUGGAGGGAUGAGACAAAAUGGAACGUAGAAAUUUGGUGGUCUUAUAUAUCAGAACAUAUAAUCAAUGAUUUCAUUAAUCAAAGGAAAAGAAAAUAUACAAAUUGUCUAAAAGAACCUGACUGGUUCAGGAAAUGGUCAGUCCUAAUUAACAAAAUAGAUGGAGACGAAAGAUACACCACCUUGAACCAGGCGUUCCAUUGUAAAAUGAUACAAUGAUAAUAUAUUGAAUUGCUGUUCCAGGGGGGAGGGGGAACGGGGGAGGGGAGGGGGGUGGGUGUUACAUUCCAAAGGAUCGUUUAAAAUGUCAUUUAAGCAUUACUUACUUUUGGUAUUAUGUAUAUUGAAAUAAGACAUGCAUCGCUAAAAAAAAAAUCAAAUUAGAGCAACAGUUGAACAGUGACAUAAGUAAACCCUAUUGAUUCAUUGGGUCUACUGUAAUCAGGACUUACAAUACAAUUUAGAUUUUUUAUUCUAAAGAAAGUGUAUUUUGGUAAAAAGAGUUAUUGUGUUCAUGCCUCUGUAUUACAAACUUGAAAGAUCUGUAUUACUUUAUACUGCUCUUUGAAACAAAGAUCAGAAUUUUAAUUUUUCUGUUUAUUGUAUUUACUCGAAUCUAACACUCACUUUUUUGGCUAAAUCACCUUGCCAAAAUUAGGGUACGCAUUAGAUUUGUGUAAUACAUUAAUCUUAGUGCUGAGCCAAAGCAAUAGGGGCAGCUGCUUCAGGAGCACUUGGAGCUUCUAUUUGAGGGAUGCCACCUGUAAUUUAAUUGUCAUGGCUCAAUGCUAUGUAAUACUGGGAUUUGUAGUUUGAUGAGGCAUCCGCACUCUUUGACAGAGAAACUCAAGGCCUUGUAAAACUACAGUCCCUAUGAUUCCAUAGCAUUGAACCAAGGAAGUUAAAGUGGAUUCAUUCUACAGCAUAGAUGCAUCCCAAGGUUUCUUUUCCAUUGCUGAAAGUGUAGGUGUUCCAACACAAUUGUUUUUAAAGAAGAAAUUCUAAGUAG
RNAcentral lists this long non-coding RNA (1744 nucleotides) under Anolis carolinensis (green anole). RNAcentral's name for it is "lncRNA (ENSACAG00000034612.1)". Lineage: Eukaryota; Metazoa; Chordata; Lepidosauria; Squamata; Anolidae. The record is from RNAcentral.